UACGGGGGGGGCAAGCGUUGUUCGGAAUUACUGGGCGUAAAGGGCGCGUAGGCGGCACAGGAAGUCAUGGGUGAAAUCCCUCGGCUUAACCGGGGAAUGGCCUGUGAAACCACUGUGCUAGAGUGCUGGAGAGGAAAGUGGAAUUCCUAGUGUAGCGGUGAAAUGCGUAGAUAUUAGGAGGAACACCUGAGGCGAAGGCGGCUUUCUGGACAGACACUGACGCUGAGGCGCGAAAGCCAGGGGAGCAAACGGG
RNAcentral lists this unclassified non-coding RNA (253 nucleotides) under uncultured Acidobacteriota bacterium. Its description in RNAcentral is "uncultured Acidobacteria bacterium contains 16S-23S intergenic spacer region". It matches the Rfam family "Bacterial small subunit ribosomal RNA", at positions 524 to 776 of the family's 1533-position model. The record is from RNAcentral. Lineage: Bacteria; Pseudomonadati; Acidobacteriota.